GAUGAAGAACGCAGCGAAAUGCGAUACUUGGUGUGAAUUGCAGAAUCCCGUGAACCAUCGAGUCUUUGAACGCAAGUUGCGCCCGAAGCCAUUAGGCCGAGGGCACGCCUGCCUGGGCGUCACACGUCGUUGCCCCCCCAUCUACUCCUUCGGGAUUGCGGGGGGCGGAUGAUGGCCUCCCGUGCGCCUCGUCGCGCGGUUGGCAUAAAUGCCAAGUCCUCGGCGACGCACGCCACGACAAUCGGUGGUUGCGAAACCUCGGUUGCCCGUCGUGUGCGGUCGUCGCGCAUCGAGGGCUCGAAAAAAUUGCCGGGCUUCGGCUCGGCUUUCAACGCGACCCCAGGUCAGGCGGGGUUACCCGCUGAAUUUAAGCAUAUCAAAAGCGGAGGA
RNAcentral lists this unclassified non-coding RNA (390 nucleotides) under soil metagenome. RNAcentral describes it as "partial contains 5.8S ribosomal RNA, internal transcribed spacer 2, and large subunit ribosomal RNA". The stretch from base 1 to 122 matches the Rfam family "5.8S ribosomal RNA", at positions 35 to 154 of the family's 154-position model. The record is from RNAcentral.